This 71-nucleotide transfer RNA is filed under the name Heliconius melpomene (postman butterfly). RNAcentral's name for it is "tRNA HMEL012050". It matches the Rfam family "tRNA". Rfam says of the family: Transfer RNA (tRNA) molecules are approximately 80 nucleotides in length. Lineage: Eukaryota; Metazoa; Arthropoda; Insecta; Lepidoptera; Nymphalidae. The record is from RNAcentral.
GCAUCGGUGGUUCAGCGGUAGAAUGCUCGCCUGCUACGCGGGCGGCCCGGGUUCGAUUCCCGGCCGAUGCA